AAAAAAUUUAAUUAAAAGAGAGAAAAAAGAAUAAACAGUACAUUGGUGCUAUUGUGAAAGUAAUUUUCAUUCAGAAGACCCAUUGAAAUGGUCUUGGAACAAUGCUAAAGUACAGGUAAUGCUGCUGUGUAUGCCUUUCUUAAAGCAACUCCUUUCUACACAGCUAUCUUCAUCUUACCUAAGUUUUUCGUCAUUAAGGACCUUUGCCUUCCUUGCAGGUCAUCUUCCAAGUUCGAAAACUUCAGAGAGCCCCAAAUUAAUCUUUAUGGUUUGUUAACAGUUCAAUUUAAAUCAACAUGUUAAAUGGCUUUUCAGUUGCCUAGCUGACAUCCAGGCACUUGGAGCUAAGACAGGUGUGUUCAAUGGAGACAGAAAAUAAGCAGGAUUAGAGAGAGAAAUGACAAGAGAAGGGAGGGCAAUGAAGAGCAAGCCUCCUUGUCUAAGGAAGCAAAUGAUCGUGGAGUGCCACACCAUGUUUCUUCUCAGCAGGCUUCCUUCUAGUACCUCUCCUAGACCAUCCCUCUCCCACCCAUUCUGAAGGGUCAGCUAUGAAGGCCUUUCUUUCUUUCUUUCUUUUUUUUUGUAUUUAUGAAUUAGAAAGAAUAGUUUGAACUUUGCAUAUUAAAGCAAACUUGGGAAAGUUGUGAACUUUUUAGUUCAUGAUAAUUAUGUCACACACAUCCUUGCUAAAAUUUUAGAAAAUUUCCGUGGUGGUGGUAAGCCCAUUCAGAACCGGGGGAAACAAAAGAACUCUGGUGCUGAGCUGAAUCUGAAGGUGAGGCUUGGUUCUCCCACAAGUUAGUCACCGGCCCCUGAGAAUGAUUCAUAAACAUGGGCACAAAGAGAACAAAAGGUAUGCUAUUACUAGACACUGUAGGCUUUCUUUACAUAGUAAGUUCCAGACCAGCCAGGGAAAUGUAGCAAUGCCUUUUCUCAAGCACAGCAAAGCAGGGCAAACUAAAUUAAACUAAACUAAAAAGAAAAACCAAAACCAAACAAACAAACAAACAAACAAACAAGACCCCCCCCAAACAACAUAGUUCUCUUGAAACAACUUUUUCCUCUAGAUUUUCUUAUCAAGACAAGGAUUCCACUUUCCAAAGACACUUCCAAAAUUAUUUCCUCAGUAUGCUUUAGUGUCAUUUCUGGUCACUAGCAUCUCUGACAUUUUGCCAGUAUUCAAGGUGCAUUUCUACCCCAAAGUCCUGCUACUUGGACUCCCUGCUUAAAGUUUCUCCUAUAGAUUGCCUCACAGCCUUUCUGCUGACAAAAUACCCUUCCUCCCUUCAUGGGUUUUCCUUCACUGUUCACCUCCCUAGCUAGCAUACCAUACACGGUACAUGUUUGUUCUAUUUAUUAUCUGCUUCCCUCAUUGUAAACAUUGUGAGGAAUACUUUGAUUGGCUGGGGAUAUUGCUCAGCUGGUAAGGCACUUGCUUGUCUAGCAUGUAUAAAGCCUCAAAUUCAAUCCCCAACAUUGCACAAGCCAGGUAUGCAGCUGCACACCUGCAAUCACAGAACCUAGGAGGUGGCAGUAGGCAGAUGAUAAAUUCAAGGUCACCCUUGCCUACAUAGCAAGUUCAAGACCAGUUUAAAAUACUUAAAACCCUGUCUAAAUCAAGUCAAACCAAUCAGUCAUCCAAUAAAUAUUCCUUUAGUGAAGUUUUUUCAUUCACAAAUGAUGUGAAGGAGGAGAAAUUCCUACAUCUUGGUCCUGGGGCAUCCUUUCUAUCCUAUAGAGGCAUAUGUGACUAAAUUUUCCAGUAGGGAAUAACUUUAAAGACCUGGCAGUUAUGGAGCUGGGGAGAUGACUUAGUCAGUAAGGUUUUUAUUGCACAAGCAUAAGGACCUGAGUAUCAGUCUCCAGCACCCAUAUUAAACCCAUGUGCAUUGGUGCAUGCCUGUAAUUCCAGUUCUGAGGCACCACUGGGUUCUCUGGAUUAUAAUCAGGCACCACCAUACCCAACUUUUGAUGUGAGUGUUGGUAUCCAGUUCAGGUCCUCUGUCAGUAGCCCCAGGGCUAGGAGGCAGACCAGAGGAUCCCUGGGAGCUCUAGGAUCAGUGAAAGACCCUGACAUGUAGAUAGAUAGAUAGAUAGAUAGAUAGAUAGAUAGAUAGAUAGAUAGAUAGAUACCUGAACACAGAUAGACAUCUGAACAACAAACACACACACACACACACACACACACACACACACACACACACACACACGGAGAGAGAGAGAGGCACACAUGAAAAAAAGUACAUGCACAAUUGCAAAAUCAUAUUCUGUUCCUGGCAUUUAUGGGCUGGUCACUAAAUCCAAUUAAAAACAGCGCUCAGUGGGUCCAGUAUAAACAGAACUGCAGUAAGUCUGCUUCUCUGGACAGACUCAAGGUUCAAAGAAUGGCUGGUGGAGCCUAUAAUGUUCAUGUGCUGAGUAAAUUCUUCCCGUGACCUCAAAACCCCCAACUGACACAGCACAGCCUCUUUUCCUCAGUGUCCUUUUCCAGCUCCUCAACACUAACACAGAGGCAGACUCAAUGUAAGGAGGACACUCAAGGCCAGGCUGUAGGAACUGUGAUCUGACUAAACAGAAAGAGAAACUCCUGGCUUUAGGAGAUGAUGAGAUGCAGGCAGAACCAGUAUGAGUUGGCAUUUUUCUGUGCCGAGAAACAAAAGGGCAAGCAAAAGUUCAAAAACCCACUUAUGUGAAGUUGGCUUUCCUGGCACAGUUUUGCAAUGUUUCAGGAUUUCUUUUCCUGUCACUGUAAUAGAGCACUCUGACAAAAGCCAAAAGGGAUCAGUGGCUUAUAGUGGUCUGUGUGUGUGUUGAGGGGGGAUUGGUAAUGGGAUCACAGCCAUAGCAGCUAGAGGGAGCUGGUCAUGUUACAUCAUGAAGCAGAACACACUCUUUGAUUUGUCUGUCUUACACAAUCCUGGAUCCCUGCCCAGGGAAUGGUCUUGACUCUGCUGAAGAUGGGGUUUUCCACAUCAAUUAGUCCAAAGGAAACGACACUCACAGCCCAUCUUCCAGAUGAUUCUACGUCCUGUCAAGCUGACAUUAGCACCAACCUUCAAGUCUCAAUAAGACCUUUUCCAUGAUGACCGUCAUGUUUCAGAUGAUUUAAUAGGAUGUCACAACUGACCCCGAAGGUUCUUUCUCCAGACUCAUAUUACUAAACCAGAGGUAACUCCGUCAGGAGAUGGCCAAAGGUCAAGUUUCUUUAAUAUUUUUCUUUAUGAUUCACGUUAGUCAAGAAAUUAGAAAAGUCCCACUUAUGAAUGACAAAACCACAUACAGUUUUAAUGUGCUAGUCUUCACUUGUUUUUUAGCUAAUAAAUAAAUAAGCAAACAAAUAAAUAAAUUUGGAACUCAAUAAAACAGAGCUCAGUUUUUCUGGGAGCAGCCAUGCCUUUCCAGUCUAGUUGCAGAGUUGUGCUGAAACCCAGCUGCUCUGGCCAAGUUCUUCAGACACCACAUGAUUCUGGACAUGGUUGCAGUGUUGUUUGUUUGGGACCUUGAGUCUUAGGCCAAAGCUCAAGUACUGGCCUCAGUAAGUUCCCAUUUACCAGGUCUCAGUAAGUUUCCAUUUCUCAGCCUAAAGCCAUUUCUCAGGUGACCUCCUGCAGUCAAACUAUGCACCAAAGGUAACCCAUCUCUUAAUGCUUCCUGCCUUUAACAAUAUUCUGCAUUCCUCUGCCCACCCCACCCUCAGUGUCUUGCAUUCCUCUGCCCCAUCCCCCUACCUCAUUCCCCUAUAUAAGGUUGUACGAAAUCCUCAAUAAAUAGAGCUUGAUUAGCCAUGUUGUCUUGCUCCCAUUCCUGUGUCUCCUGUCCCCCCAGGAUAGCCCAUGUUGACUUGUGCCGGCAGGUCGGAGCAGUUGUUAUGAUUCUUAAGUGGUCUGGUAGAGUCUGGUCUACGGCCCCAGCUCAGAUAGAAAACCAUUUCCUUCAUUUAUUUUAUUUUAUUUAAAAAAUUUUAUUUUUCAUUUUACAUACCAACCCCAGUUUCCCCUCCCUCUUCCCACACCCCAUUCACUUCUCAGAGGGGUAAAGCCUUUCUUGGGGAGUCAACAAAGUCUGGCAUACCAAGUUGAGACAGGACCAAGCAUCUCUCCUUUGUGUCAAGGCUGAGCAAGGUAUCCCACCAUAGGGAAUGGACUCCAAAGAACAGCUCAUGCACUAGGGAUAGGUCAUGGUGACACUGCCAGCAAACCCCCUCCCUCAUAACUAUUACUCUCAUUCAGAGGGUCUAGUUCAGUCUCAUGCACGUUUCCCAGAUGUCGGUCCAUAGUCCAUGAGCUCAACAAGUUCGAGUCAGUUGUCUUUGGGGUUUUCCCAUCAUAAUCUUGACCUACCCUGUUCAUGUGAUGCUUCCUCCCUCUCUUUAACUGAACUCCAGGAGCUCAGCCCAGUGCUUGGCUGUGGAUCACUGCAUCUACUUCCAUUAGUACUAGAUAAAGGUUCUGUGGUGACAACUAGGAUAGCCAUUAAUAUGAUUAAAGGGGAAGGCCUGUUUAGACACUCUCUUUACUAUUGCUAGGAGUCUUAUCUGGGGUAUCCACGUGGAUUCCUGAAAAUUUCUCUAGCAUUGGAUUUCUCCCCAACCCUAUAAUGGUUCCCUCUAUCAAGAUAUCUCUUUCAUUGCUUUCCCCCUAGCUUGUAGUUCAUAUUACCAUGCCAUCAUUUCCUUGACAUUCCUCUGGAAUCAUAAUUUAAAAGCCUUUCUUUCUUAAAUUGCAUUGGUCAUGGUGUUUUAUAACAGCAACAGAAAAGUAGCUAACACUGCAACUCCUUGGCCUUUAUUCUUGGAUCCCUUAAUCAUCACCCAAUACAAAAUCACUUGCCCCUUCUGCUCAUUUUGAAUACUUUCUACUCAUUUUUAGCCAUUGUUAGUGUGCUCAUGAACACUAGAAGAAGGACCAUUUCUUUCCUGAAGGAACUGAUAGUCUCCUUUCUGAUUGUAACCAUAAAAAUGUCUGUUUUCCUUCUUGCUUUGACUAGAGAGAAUCUGAACACCUGAAAAAUGCUAUGAAGUACAGAAGGAUAAAGUUACAAGGCAUUGGGCCAAGCUCCUGGAGUACAAUCGAAGUCAGGGAAGAAUGAGAAUAUGAACAAAAGUCAGGACCAUGAUGGAGAAAUUCACCGAAUCAGAGCUGAUCGAAGCAGAAACAGGCACCUACAGCUAAGCCAUACUCACGGAAUCCAGUUGCAGAGAGGGAGGAGAGAUGAGCAAAUGAACCAGACGGAACUGGAGGUACCUGCAGAAACAGUUGACCUGAAAAUGCUUUAAGUCCAAUGGAAGCAGGGAUUGGAACAAUAGAGUCAUAAGCCAAAAAUUGUCUGACUUCAACAAAAACUGAAACAGGCCAGGGACAGCUUUCUGGAGUGUUUGAGGAACUCAGACAUGACAAAGCCUUGCUUGACUUCUGGUCUCCAGAAUUUCAAGGGAGAUAAGAGUCAAUCAUGGCAGGAAAAAAUGGCAGCCAGUGACAGACAUGCAGCAGGAAGCCAAGAGCCCGACAUCUUCAACUGCAAGCAUAAAGCAGAGAGAGUGAACCAGACUAUGAACUCUCGAAGGCCACUACCAGAGACAUGUCUCCUCAGAAAACCCACACCACUUCCGGAAGCAGUGUUGCCAACUGGGAACUAGAUAGCCUAUGGCAGGGAGUUCCUUCAAACCACCCAAAACAACAGGUCAGUCCAGCUGGCCCAUCCAUGAGAGGAUCAUGGAAGAGCAAGCCAGAAGAAGGUCAAAAGGCCCCUAACCCAGGGGACUUGGAGGACUGCAUGAAACCCUAUCUUCUGGACCUAGCAUGGCCAAUGUAUUCAUGAACUCUGAGCAACUGUGGCUACCAACACAAGAGCCACACAAGAUCCAGUCCUUCAACAUUCCAGCAUGGAUGGGAAACAUCACAUGAGUCUUCAACUCUAGCUGAAGAGUUAAAGACAAUCAGUGACUGCUAAGGGGAGGAAGAGCUGUUUCAGUGAUGUAGGCACUGAUAAGUCAUUUGUGAUCCAGUAAAUAACCCCUCACUCACACACAUGCAAGCAUCUCUAAUUAUGUCCAGUGGGUCACAAAAGCAAACAAACAAAAAAGAUAUGAAAACAUAAGGGGGAAUGUUGUGAAGAAGAAUGUUCCCAGAGGUGGUGGGAACAGGGUAAGAGAGGGGGGUUGGGGAGA
Mesocricetus auratus (golden hamster) is the source of this 6166-nucleotide long non-coding RNA. RefSeq lists it as uncharacterized. The record is from RefSeq and is a predicted model, not a curated record. NCBI's taxonomy places the organism in Eukaryota, Metazoa, Chordata, Mammalia, Rodentia, Cricetidae. The transcript is spliced from 4 exons.